This 9260-nucleotide long non-coding RNA is filed under the name Daucus carota (carrot). Its description in RNAcentral is "long non-coding RNA (DCAR_LNC001987)". The record is from RNAcentral. Lineage: Eukaryota; Viridiplantae; Streptophyta; Magnoliopsida; Apiales; Apiaceae.
UUGAUAUUGUAUUGUCUUUUUAAUUUAUUUUCUCCAAGUUGUAUGAUUCUUCUAAGUACCACCACAUGCUUUUAAGCUUUUGGGAAAUGAAGAGUCAUUGAGCUUAUGAUUUGUAUAGAUUUGUGAUCUUUUGAAAUAGUAAACUAAGUCCUAGCACAAAAUCAAUUUGUGUUAGGGUUUGGAUUUAAAACCCCAAAUUUUCUUAUUCUUGCUUUUAUUGUUUAAAUCGCUAAGUAGUAAUUUUAAGAAUAUUAAAAAUUAACUUUAAAACACUCGAUUACGCAGCUCGAUUUACUCUGUUUCUGUUUAGUUUAAAAUUACAUCCCCUGUUUUCGUUUAAAACACAACGAACCCAGUUUCUUUUCUUUUCUUUAAUUUCAGUUUAAAACCUCAAAACCCUUAUCUUGUUGUUUCGUUAAUUGCUGAGUUGUAUGAUUUCUGAGUUAUGUUCAUAUAAAUCUGGUUUCAUGGGUAUUCCGAUUUCCGAGUUCACCGAUUUGCUUUGUUUGUGUUGAUUUGAGUUGACUCGCCGUAUAGUCCUGGGUUUUGUAACCGAGUCGCCAUUGUUGAGUCCUGAGUAGCCCCUGUUUCGAGUUUGUUUUACUAUGUUUUCAUCGAGUCGUCGUUUUGGUUCGAGUAGCUGAGUUACAGAGUCGUUUUCUUUGCUGAGUCCCGAGUCUAGUACGAGUCUGCAUCGCGUCCAGUGUUGUUACUAAGUCGAGCAUCUGGUCUGGUCAUUAGUUCGUUUAUCGCAGCUGAGUUUUAUGUUUUAUGUCGAGGUUAACAGCUGAGUCGAAACCUCGCCAAGUUCGUGUUAAUCGAGUCUUCGAGUUCUCUGUUUUCCGAGUCAUAGUCUGAGAAACUCUGCUGCGAUUUUGAGUCCUGUUUGUUUUAGUUUGAAUCGCUGAGUCUUGAUUCCGAGUCUAUAAACUGAGUUAUGUGUAUACUUUGUUUUCGAUUUGUGGAGUAUAAGUUUGGGAGUGUUGCUGCGUGUUUAUUCGAGUGCUUUUUCCUGUUUACAACCUUGUUUUCUGCUGUGCUGCGUUUUCGUUUGUUGUUGGUUUGAACCUUGGCUGAGUGCUGAGUUUGUUCUUUAGUUUGAGGCGCUACUGAGUCAGUUUCUGAGUCGGGUUCUUCUCUAAGUAUUCUGCUGCGAUUUGCGCCAAGUUCAGGGGUUUAGUCUCCGAUUUUGGCCUGCCUUUUGUUCUUUUCAUUGCUUUGUACUGUUGGGUCGCCAAGUCUGAUAUUUUUGCCGUUUGUUUUAGUUUAGUCGCGAGUCUGUAUUGAUGCUUGAUGUAAUGAGUUUACUGCUAGUGUAGUUAAUUGUUUUUUUUUGUUUACAGUCCACCACCGAGCACUAUCUUUGUAGCACUGGCCUUUGAGUAGUAAAAGAAAAUAAUGAAGUUUAGUUUUAUUUUUGCUGCGUUGAAAAUUCUGUGUCACUUAGUUAGUUGAAAAUGACAUGUGAGUUUGUUUAUUUACUGAGACAUGUGACUUUGGUUUUGGUUUAGAUCUUUCUCACUUUUUGUUCUUUAUUUCGAGGAGGAAUAUUCGGGAAUUAUGGAGUAAAGUGGACAAAUUUUGCUCGGAUUUGGAAGCUUGCUUUGGUAUCCCGUAUCUCUCCACUCUUAUUUUUCGUUUUUAUUUAGAAAAUCACAAACAAAUCUGAAUAUUGAAAAAGCACACAAACAAAUUAUAAAUUUAAAAUCCAAAAAUAGUAGUUAGAAUUAAAUAUGUGUUGCAUCAUGCAUUUUAACACUUAGGGCACAUCAUUUAGAUUUUAAUUUUUGUUUUUAAAUUUUCGUACCUUUAAUUGUGGUGAUCGCUGGAGGACCCUAAGGUACGUUAAUUUCUUUCUUUCUCUAGAUUAGGACACGUAGUUUAAAGCAUCCAUAUUUGUUUACCGCUUUUAUUAUCUCGUUGUGUGGAGCAUCAUUUUAAAUAAAUCUUAAGGGCAAAACCCACUCAUAAGAUAAGGGAAGGGAUUUCAUCACUCUUUCCUUGGCCCACAACGAUUUAAUUACUUCAUUUUGCAUUUCCCUAGCCUUUUAAUAAAAUUGAAUUAGACGUUAGCCCCUAGGAUUUCGCGCUCAACUAGGAAGGUACCUAAAAGACGAGGUAAUCUUUAAUUAUUCCGACUUUUCGGUGUCUAAGGCAAGCGAAAGCUUACCUGGCCGAUUAAGGUUUGGUGUCUAAGCGCGGAGAUUGGCCUCUUGGCAAUGCCUGCUCCAAACUGGCCAGACCGGUCCGAAUAAUUUUGGAUUUAUCAAGUUUUUGGUGGUCCUUAACGUUAGGAGCAAGGUCUAGUUCAUUUUAUUAGGGAACCCUAGAGUUAGGUUUUUCUUUCACUUUUACACCCUUUAUUUUGUUUGUUUUACAUUCUCGCACUUAUUUGCUACGUGUUUACUAUCUAGUUUAUGCGAACUACUUGGGUUAGGAACGAAUCGUCUAGAUUAGUAAGACCUAUAAUCGAGAUUCCCUCGUCCUCUUCGGAUUCCGAAACCCUAGAAGUUCUAGAACCGAUAGUAAACAUGGCCCUUUCACUCAAGGAUCGUUGUUAUCCAUCUCGUUCAAGUCAACCUUCGUGCAUCACCCUUCCUCCCGUUAAUGGGAACAAUUUUGAAAUCAAAGCUCACCACAUUAGCAUGUUACCUAAACUUACCGGGAGUGAGGGUGAGGAUCCUUAUCUUUUUAUCCAAGAGUUUGAGGAAGUUUGUUCCCUCCAAAAGCUCCACCAAUUAACGGAAGAUUCGAUUAGACUUAGGCUCAUUAAUUUUGCGCUUAAGGAGAAUGCGAAAAAAUGGUUAUAUAGUCUUCCCGUUAAUUCUAUUUCCACGUGGGAGGGGUUCGUUGUGGUGUUUCUUAAAAAGUAUUUUCCAAAUCAUAAGACUACUCGAAUUACAAAUGAAAUAAAUCAAUUUCAUCAAAAGGAAAACGAGUCUUUUUGGAUUUUCUUUGACCGCUUCAAAAAUCUUCUUUUACAAUGCCCCCACCACGGAAUAGAAAAAAGGAGACUUUGCAAGAUAAUUUACGAGGCCUUAGAUAGUCAAACCACUGCGUUAUUAGAGUCUAUGUGCCAAGGUAAAUUCAUGGAAAAAGAUGAGGACCAAGGGUGGGAAUUUUUUGAGGAUUUAGCGGAAAAGACAAUGAUGUGGGAGUCAACUAGGGAACCCAAAAAGUCAAUUCAGUCGUCUAGUGCUAGUGGUUUGCAUUCGAUAGGAAACAAUGUGGCAACCGAUGCCAAAUUAGCUACCCUAACUAGGAGACUUGAAGCUUUAGAAACUAGUAAACCUCCCACACAAAUGUCGACGCACCCUUGUUACAAUUUUCAAAAUCCCGCAACUCAACCCUUGCACGAGUUUGAACAAGUAAAUGCUAUGUUCCAAAAUUCUAGGAAUGAUGCGUUUGCACCCACUUAUAAUCCCGGGUGGAGAAAUCACCCAAAUUUCUCAUGGACCCAAGGUCAAAAUUGUCAAGUUCCUCAACCCAAUUUUCAAAUGAAUCAAGGGCCAAAUUCUUUUCCAACUCCUCAACAAAAUUUUCAACAAAGGCCCAACCCAAACUCUUACCCAAAUCAAGGUCCAAAUUCAUGUCAUAACCCAAUUCAAACUCCUUUGAAUCCUCCCGGUUUCAAUGAUUCGGAUAAACGCCUCAAUUCCUUAGAAAAGAGUUUGGAAGCCUUAGUUAAAUCGCAAACUAAUUUGACUCAAUCACAACAAACUUUCAUGACAACCCUAACCCAAGAUAGGCAAAUUUUGCAUUCUAAUGUGCAAGCCGUGUCUAAGUUAGAGGCCCAAUUGAGUCAAUUAGCUAGCGCGUUGUGUGAGCGAGAGAAGAACAAGUUGCCAAGUCAACCCGAGGUCAAUCCUAAGUUUCCUCUCAAUCAAAGACCUCCCGAGAAUGUUAAUGCGAUUAUUUCUCUAAGGUCGGGAAAUCAAGUGGAUAACAAAGUUGGUGAGAACGUGAAUAAAAAUGAGGAGUCGAUUCCUGAACCAAAUCCUUCUUUGUCUAGCACUAUUUAUGACAAACCCGAAUGUUCUAGAAUCCGUGAGUCUAUGAGUGAACCUAGUCCGGGGCCCAUUUCUCAAAGGCCCAACGAAGAAGUUUACAAGCCAAAGGUUCCUUACCCACAAAGACUCAUUCGCCCUAAACAAUCGGCCCAAAUGGAACAAAUCUUAGAGGUUUUCAAAAAAGUCAAGAUUAACAUUCCUCUUUUAGAUGCCAUUCAACAAGUUCCCUCUUAUGCUAAGUGUCUAAAAGAUUUGUGUACCCAUAAGAGAACCACUCGUGUUCCAAAGAAAGCCUUUUUGACCUCUCAAGUUAGCUCGAUUCUCUCGAAUCAAAUUCCCGUGAAAUAUAAGGACCCCGGUUGUCCUACAAUUUCUUGUGUCAUAGGCAAUACUUUUGUGGAUAAAGCUUUACUUGAUUUAGGAGCGAGUGUGAAUCUUCUUCCUUUCUCGGUCUACCAAGCCCUAGGUUUAGGGGAUCUCAAGUCCACCAAUAUGACCCUUCAACUUGCCGAUCGUUCCAUUAAAAUGCCAAAGGGGAUUAUUGAGGACGUUUUGAUCAAAAUAGGUGAUUUUAUCUUUCCCGUUGACUUUGUUGUUCUCGAGACUCAACCCGUCUCGAAUCCUAAGAACCAAAUUCCUAUCAUUUUAGGACGACCUUUUCUUGCUACAUCCAAUGCCUUAAUCAAUUGUAGGAAUGGUUCAAUGAAGCUCACUUUUGGAAACAUGACCAUUGACUUAAACAUUUUCAAUGUAGGAAAAGAACCCAAUGAGCUUUAUGAGCAACCUAUAGGGGUCAAUGUGGUCAACAAGUUUGUCACAUGGUCUAGCUUUGAGGAUAGUGAGAUUGAGUCUCUUCUCAACGAGGAUUUCAAAGUCAACAACGAGAAGAAUAGAGAAUAUCACGAGUCUUUGAGAGAGUUGACCUCGGAGGAGAUGUUAGGAGAAUUGAACGACAUUUGUUCAAAAUGGGAAACUCCACCCGAGAUGGUUAGUGUUGACCCUAGGCCCGAUUUUGAGAGUCAUGUAGGUGAACCACCGACAUUUGACUCGUUGUUCCAUCCUUCACAUAGUGCCUUAGGAAAAGAUGACACUAUUUCUUACAUCGUUCCUACUGAUUUAUCCUAUGACCAAAAUUGCAUAGUCUCUAAUUUGCUUGAUAAUAAAGAAGCAUUAAGUUGGUUUAGGGAGAACAUUAGUGAUACUUGUCAUAUAGGGUUAAACGAUUGUCACAUGCUAGAGAAAGUCUUUGUGCCUAAAAAUUUUCAUACACAUUUUGACUCUUUCUCGAAGCUUCCUCCCAUAUUUCCUUCCGGAAUUGGCUGAAGUGGUUCCUUCUUAGAACCUUCCCUCGUGAAGUUCAGGUAUGGGGAAGGAAAUGUGUGAGUGUGUGGGUCGUGUUAGUGUUUCGUUCGUUAAUAAAAAUCCCCUUCAUAUCCAUUUCAGGUAUUUUUCUCUUUACUCUCUCAUUUCAAUUCUCUCUUUUGCAUACAUUGAGGACAAUGCAUGAUUUAGGUAUGGGGAGGGCUUUAGUGUAAUUCUUAAAAAAUGAAAAACCCUAAAAAAUGAAAAAUUAGAAAAAUCCAAAAAUAGAGAUGUUUUAGCUAAGUUGUCUUUCCCUCACUCAAAUUUUAGGAGUAGUCGGUGUUUACAUGUUUUCGAAAAGUAUAUAUAUGUAGUGUCUUUUAGAUAAUUUGAACGUAGUUGAGUAAGGUUGUCUUUUUGAAGCUUGUAUCGACCUAUUUGUACUCUAAGCACACACAUUUGCACAAGACCUUUGAUGGAGAGAUUGUCUAGUGAUAUUAUUCGAUACCUGAGAGAGAACCCACAUGUUGAAACAAUGUCGAAUCGAGCCUUUGCGAAGAAAAAAAAAAGAAAAGAAAAAAAGAGAUAGAAAAAGAAAAAAAAGAGAGAAGGAAUAACUACUUCAAUACCCAUUGUUCUUUAUAGAUAAAAUCUUUAGAUAAAUGGGCAAAAGUAGAUUGGCUAGUCUCGUUUUGUGGCCUUUGUUACUCGAGCAAUUAAGUCCGUAGGGGGAUUUCAAAACCUAGUGCCCUAAGACCGUUUGGUUUGGGAGUCACUGACCCAAAGCUCGCUACAUGGGUAACAUUGUUUGCCUAAGAAAACGGACAAAAUAAAGUCAAUGCAAAAACAAAAAAAAGAAGAAAAAAAAAAGAAAAAAAGAAGAAGAAUAAGAGUUUGUGAAGUUUGGCUAGAUAUUUGUUUCGAUAGAGAUUGGGUCAGUUCAAAAUUGGUUGAAAAAGAGAAAAUGUUCUUAGACAAUUAGGAUCCAUCAAAGGCCUUAAAUUACUUACACUCCUUGGAUUUCUAGUAAAUUUUUGAGUCGAUUUCAAGUAGAUUAGAGGCAAUUGUAUCUUGAUUAUUAGUAAAAGAGUCUUUGAGUUGUAUUUUCCUUAGAAACGCUUUCAGUUAACACCAACGAAAUUAGAGUAGAGUCGAGUAGACACUUGCUAGAAUGUCUCGAAGAUUUUAUGGGUACAUCUUCUGUAAACCCUUAGGAGACAAAACUCCUCUUGUAGAGAUCGUCUACGAGUUUAACGGGUUGGUGAACCUAAAAUCACCCGUCACGCCUACGAAAAGGAGCCUAGGAAUCGCAUCUAGUUUUCUUAGUUUAUUUUCUUUUCUUUUGAUUUUUACUCGAGGACGAGCAAAAGAUAGGUAUGGGGAAGUUUGAUUAGUCCAUAUUUUUGCAUAUUUAAGUGCCUAUUUUUUGUUUAUUUUCGUAGUAUUAAUCGCUUAUUUAUUUUAUUUCAGGAAAUUGUAGAUAAAUAAAGAAAAAAGAGAAAAUGCAAGAAAAAGAAGAAAAAGAAAAGAAAAAAGAAGAAAAUCAAAGAGAGUUGGCAAGCAAGGGGGCACAUGGAUGGCUAUGAUUUACCCAACACACAUCACACAUGGAUGGAUUAGAUUUAGCCACCCUACCCCUAAACCCUACAAUUCUAGCUAUAAAUACCCCCACCCCCUUUACUUGUAAUCACCAUAUUUUUAACCUAGUCUUUUCCUAGUUGGUAGGUAGUAUAGUGCUAGAUCUUCUUUUGUUCUCUCAAUUUCAUACCAUAUUUGUAAGCACUUUUCAUUUUAGUGCAAAUUUCUUUUAGCUUGAUCUUGUAUUGUCUUUUUAAUUUAUUUUCUCCAAGUUGUAUGAUUCUUCUAAGUACCACCACAUGCUUUUAAGCUUUUGGGAAAUGAAGAGUCAUUGAGCUUAUGAUUUGUAUAGAUUUGUGAUCUUUUGAAAUAGUAAACUAAGUCCUAGCACAAAAUCAAUUUGUGUUAGGGUUUGGAUUUAAAACCCCAAAUUUUCUUAUUCUUGCUUUUAUUGUUUAAAUCGCUAAGUAGUAAUUUUAAGAAUAUUAAAAAUUAACUUUAAAACACUCGAUUACGCAGCUCGAUUUACUCUGUUUCUGUUUAGUUUAAAAUUACAUCCCCUGUUUUCGUUUAAAACACAACGAACCCAGUUUCUUUUCUUUUCUUUAAUUUCAGUUUAAAACCUCAAAACCCUUAUCUUGUUGUUUCGUUAAUUGCUGAGUUGUAUGAUUUCUGAGUUAUGUUCAUAUAAAUCUGGUUUCAUGGGUAUUCCGAUUUCCGAGUUCACCGAUUUGCUUUGUUUGUGUUGAUUUGAGUUGACUCGCCGUAUAGUCCUGGGUUUUGUAACCGAGUCGCCAUUGUUGAGUCCUGAGUAGCCCCUGUUUCGAGUUUGUUUUACUAUGUUUUCAUCGAGUCGUCGUUUUGGUUCGAGUAGCUGAGUUACAGAGUCGUUUUCUUUGCUGAGUCCCGAGUCUAGUACGAGUCUGCAUCGCGUCCAGUGUUGUUACUAAGUCGAGCAUCUGGUCUGGUCAUUAGUUCGUUUAUCGCAGCUGAGUUUUAUGUUUUAUGUCGAGGUUAACAGCUGAGUCGAAACCUCGCCAAGUUCGUGUUAAUCGAGUCUUCGAGUUCUCUGUUUUCCGAGUCAUAGUCUGAGAAACUCUGCUGCGAUUUUGAGUCCUGUUUGUUUUAGUUUGAAUCGCUGAGUCUUGAUUCCGAGUCUAUAAACUGAGUUAUGUGUAUACUUUGUUUUCGAUUUGUGGAGUAUAAGUUUGGGAGUGUUGCUGCGUGUUUAUUCGAGUGCUUUUUCCUGUUUACAACCUUGUUUUCUGCUGUGCUGCGUUUUCGUUUGUUGUUGGUUUGAACCUUGGCUGAGUGCUGAGUUUGUUCUUUAGUUUGAGGCGCUACUGAGUCAGUUUCUGAGUCGGGUUCUUCUCUAAGUAUUCUGCUGCGAUUUGCGCCAAGUUCAGGGGUUUAGUCUCCGAUUUUGGCCUGCCUUUUGUUCUUUUCAUUGCUUUGUACUGUUGGGUCGCCAAGUCUGAUAUUUUUGCCGUUUGUUUUAGUUUAGUCGCGAGUCUGUAUUGAUGCUUGAUGUAAUGAGUUUACUGCUAGUGUAGUUAAUUGUUUUUUUUUGUUUACAGUCCACCACCGAGCACUAUCUUUGUAGCACUGGCCUUUGAGUAGUAAAAGAAAAUAAUGAAGUUUAGUUUUAUUUUUGCUGCGUUGAAAAUUCUGUGUCACUUAGUUAGUUGAAAAUGACAUGUGAGUUUGUUUAUUUACUGAGACAUGUGACUUUGGUUUUGGUUUAGAUUCUUUUAAUUGUUUUCUGGUUUUGUUUUGUUUUUAGUUAAUUUUUCAUGUGCCCGAUAAGUUUUAUAGUUAGAUUUUUCAUAAGUAAUAAUUAAUUAGUUAAAGAUUUGGCCAGUGAUUUAAUUAGUUAAUCGGAAAGUUUUAGAUAUUAUUUUGAAACCAAAUUUCACAAAAUUAAUUGUUCUAAUUCGCCUAGGUUAAGAAUUUAGGUUGCGAAAAUAAUUUUAAUCUCUGUGGAUCGAAUCAUAAAUAUUAAAACGGUGAUCGUGCGCUUGCGAUUUAAAAGUAUUAUUUCUAGCACAUCAAAUAUAUAUCACUUGCUAACAAUAAAUCUCAAUUGGUCUAUUUAGGGCAUCUUCAACUGGGUUAACUAAAAUUAGAAUCACAAAACUAUGCAAAAUUUGUUGAAUUAGUAAGACAUUGUGCUAUAAUAGGUCAACAUCUAUACUAUCUAUACUAUACUAUAAAAAGGCAACAUGGGUAUAAUUUGUCGUCGUACAAAAUUUUGGUUUGGUCAUGUUGGUUUGGUGAUUCACUUUAUAACUAAAAGUCUCCUACACGUAGAGUUCUCAUAAUCAUACAUCUCCAAACAGUUUGAUAUACUACAAGAUAAAAACUCCACCA